This 312-nucleotide ribosomal RNA is filed under the name uncultured eukaryote. RNAcentral's name for it is "partial 18S ribosomal RNA". It matches the Rfam family "Eukaryotic small subunit ribosomal RNA", at positions 1470 to 1796 of the family's 1831-position model. The record is from RNAcentral.
CCCUUAGAUGUCCUGGGCCGCACGCGUGCUACACUGAUGCAUACAGCGAGCACUUCCCGGUGCCGAAAGGCUACUGGUAAUCAGCAAUAUGCAUCGUGAUGGGGAUAGAUCUUUGGAAUUCUUGAUCUUGAACGAGGAAUGCCUAGUAGGCGCAAGUCAUUACCUUGCGUCGAUUAAGUCCCUGCCCUUUGUACACACCGCCCGUCGCUCCUACCGAUUUGAGUGAUCCGGUGAGCCUUUUGGACCGGAUUGUUUCGGCAGUUUGGAAAAUCAAGCAAACCACAUCACUUAGAGGAAGGAGAANUCGUANCA